GGGCCCGCACAAGCGGUGGAGUAUGUGGUUUAAUUCGAUGCAACGCGAAGAACCUUACCAGGGUUUGACAUCCUGCGAAUCUCUUGGAAACGAGAGAGUGCCUUCGGGAGCGCAGUGACAGGUGGUGCAUGGCUGUCGUCAGCUCGUGUCGUGAGAUGUUGGGUUAAGUCCCGCAACGAGCGCAACCCACGUCUUUAGUUGCCAGCAUUUAGUUGGGCACUCUAGAGAGACCGCCGGUGAUAAACCGGAGGAAGGUGUGGAUGACGUCAAGUCAUCAUGCCCCUUACAUCCUGGGCUACACACGUACUACAAUGCUACGGACAAAGAGCAGCAAGUUCGCGAGAGCUAGCAAAUCCCAUAAACCGUGGCUCAGUUCAGAUCGUAGGCUGCAACUCGCCUACGUGAAGGAGGAAUCGCUAG
Molecule: ribosomal RNA, 420 nt
Filed under: uncultured bacterium
Lineage: Bacteria
Description: bacterial SSU rRNA
Rfam family: Bacterial small subunit ribosomal RNA
Source: RNAcentral